AUAAGGAUCCCAAAGCCCUAGAAGAUGAAGAGAAAUUAAAAUGGAAACAAUAAGAUAACACAGGAGACAGAAGAACAUGAAACCUAAUUCCAGAAAUACAGCAGUGAGGGAGAAAUGAUGAGGCUGACCCUGAGCAUCUCUCCUGUAAGCUGCAUCCAGUCCAUUGCUCCAGCAGGUUCAAGACUUCUCUCAGAAGGAAGAAAGGAGGAAGCCCACACUAAACAGCUCUUUUAUUUCCCACCCAGGUAUAUUCUUCUGGUUUUCUCCAUCAUAUCCCCAUGCCAAGUUCUUUUUUUUUUUCUCUCCAACCCUUCCUUCCAUCAUUUUCCUUUCCUUAUGAGUGUUGUUUUCUAUCAUUAAAUUGGAAGCUCCUUGAGGAUAAAAUCUCUUAUGCCUUUUAUGGUAUCCUUUGUUUAGAAUAGUGCCUGACAUGUAAUUACUUAAUGAAUGCUUAUUGAUUGACUAACUGAUAUUACCUGGGUUCAUAUUUUUCCAACAUCAUCUACUUCCUGUGUGUGUCUUUGAUUAAAUCACUUAAGAUCUCCAGACAUCUAUUUAUUCAUUAAUAAAAUUAAUAAAAGAGGGAAGUUUGACCUGAUG
Molecule: long non-coding RNA, 600 nt
Filed under: Monodelphis domestica (gray short-tailed opossum)
Lineage: Eukaryota; Metazoa; Chordata; Mammalia; Didelphimorphia; Didelphidae
Description: lncRNA (ENSMODG00000040219.1)
Source: RNAcentral